AAUAAACUGAGCAGCCAGCAGCCAGCGGCUGUCAGAGCCCACCUGAAACAAGGAGACUUGAAAGCUCCACCAGACAGAACUCCAGUAUUUAUUUCUUAAGCCUCUGAAAGAAAACAGGAAGUUGUUUUCUCUUCUCCCCACCCCUGGCACCCAAAAUUUGAUUGCCCCAUGGCCUUUACGCAGCUGUCCUCCUGGCUACCCCAGAUAAGGGAGUCGAGUGACUGCUGAGCUCAGAGACAUUAAAAAAAACAACAAACAAUUCCUGUGGAGUUGAUUUCAGCUCACGGCAACUCCUUGUGUGUCAGACUAGAACUGUGCACUACACGGUUUUCAAUGGCAGAUUUUUCUUCUGAGACACCUCUGGGCAGACUCGAACCGCCAAUGUUUCAGUUAACAGCCAAGUGGGUUAACCAAUUGAACCACCUAGGGACUUCCCUAGUGAUACUAAGGUGCUGAGACAGGCUGAGACCCCUCUGGCUUCUGACAUGGAGCGUUCUGAACAGGAUCCCAAGUUGGUGAUGGCUCUGAUUGCGUGAAUAGAUGAUCAGAAAGGUAUCUUGCCGUGGCAGUCCUUAGUAAGGCAGAUGCCCACAUCACCUGGAACUCAGUGAAGGUCGAGAAGUCCUGUCACACUGCCGUUCCAGGACUGUAGGCUGGAACGUCCCCAGAGCCCUGCUUUUCACCCAGACAGGCUCCUGUAAAUUUGAUGAAUUCUUUAGCCAAAGCUGUGCCCCUGGGGCUGACCCGGGAUCCCGUCUGUGUGCUCUGUGCAUUGGUGACGAUUCAGGCCAGAACAAGUGUGUGCCCAACAGCAAGGAGCGAUACUAUGGCUACAUCGGAGCUUUCAGCACUCCUGGAAGCCUGCGCCUUCCUCAGCAGGUAGAACUCAAGCCAGUGACCAGCCUUGCCUGGGGAGCCUCAGCCCUCCACUGCGCUCAGCCCCGGCCGCUCCCUUCCUGAG
This is a long non-coding RNA of Loxodonta africana (African savanna elephant), 961 nucleotides long. RefSeq lists it as uncharacterized. The record is from RefSeq and is a predicted model, not a curated record. The transcript has 5 exons. Lineage: Eukaryota; Metazoa; Chordata; Mammalia; Proboscidea; Elephantidae.